GGGGGGAGCCGGGGGAGCCUCGGCCGCCCGUGGGCACCGUGGCCCAGCCCGCGCCUUCCUCGUGCGGUGCCAGGCGCCAGCCUCCCCUUCCUUCCCGAACUCGCGUUUUCACCCUCCCCCGGCUUCGGGAGACCAACCGGGAGCCGCUCUUCCCCCCCACCCCCUCUCCCACCCAGCUCCCCGUCCCCGCUGCCUCCUUAUCCAGCCCCCCAAGGGCAGAGGGGCCUGGGUGCCCAUUUUAGAGCUGGGCAAACUGAGAGCCUAAGACGUCCGGUACGUACACCGGGAGACGGGGGAGCAGGAUCUUGACCAGCGCUGCGCCUGGGCUCGAGGGACCGGCAGGCCCUCCCCAGACACCAAUCCGGCCGGUGCUUUGGCGGUGGAAGAACCCGGAGCCCUCCCUUUUAAACCUAGAAGCUUCACAGAUGAACUUCGGGGCUCUGACAGCACCCCAUCUUCCCCUGAAGUAGAAGACAAAAUCUCCUACAUGCAGUUUGUCUUGGGAGAGUAUCCACGGCUUUCAUCAGAAAGAAUUCCAGAACCAUAAGAAGCUCAGAGUUGGAAGGCGCCAUCUUCAGUUGAGUCCCCUACCCGCACCCCAUCAUUGCUGAUAAAUGCUGAUGGUACUCCGUAGUUACAUCAUCCUACUGGUUCGUCUCCUCUGGCCGCAGUGGCAGUGACUCUGGUGUGGUGAGGCAGCCCACAGUGUUUGCAGGGCUAGAAGCAUUCUAUAACUUAAUCUGGUUGGUGGUUACACAGCUGUAAACAUAAGUGCUUCAUCUUCAAGAAGAUUCAUCGAAAGGACUUUUUGACAAGUCUAUAGAACGGACUGAUGACCCCAAAUGACAUCAGCACAAGAAGAUGACAACAGCAGUGGUGGACAGCUGGCCCAAGAAUCCAGAUCAGGCCUGUCCCAGUUCAGCCACGCAGCAGAAGGGCUACUCCUCCAGUCGUCCGAAGGAAGGAUGGCAUGUCAUAUUCGUAAUAUAUGUUUACUAAUACAAUUGACCCUUGGACAACAUGGGUUUGAAAUGCGUGAGUCCACUUAUACGCAGGGUUUUUUUUCAGUAAAUACAGUUGUACAUGAUCCAUGGUUGGUAGAAUCCUCAGAUGCGGAACCUGGGAUACAGAGGGCUUUCUGUGGGACUCGAACAUCCACAGAUUUCGGUAUCCAUGGUGGGUCUUGAAACCAGUCCCCCACGAUACCAAGGGGUGACUGUACUCAUCCAGAUCAUUGAGAAAAACAUUGAACACCCUCCUGCCUCCUGAUUAACCUUUCCUUCGGGGCUCAGAUGAGCUAUUCAUUCUCCUGGGGGCUCCCCACCCACUCAGAGCUACCUCAGGUGCCUGCCUUGUGUUCCCUCCAUCUCCUCACUUACCACUCUUUCUUGUGGUCACUAGCUGGGGUGUCCAUAAUGUGAGUCAACUUGCAACAACUUGGGGAUGGAGGUUGGGUCACACAUUAAUCCUUUUAUCUCAAGGGCGUAGUACAGCACCUGCCUGGCACAAAGCAGGCCUUCAGAAAAUACGAACUAUGCAAAUAUGUGUUUAACUACCACAACCUUGAACUUAUGAAAAACUGAGGCAAGAAGUAAUAUUCAGAGAGGGUUUCAUGAGCGGUGUACAAUUCAUCUAUUUAAUCAGUAGUUCUCAGACUUGGCUAUACAGAUUCUGCUUGAUUUAUGAUGGAGUUUCGUCCCCGUAAUCCCAUUGUAAUUUGAAAAUAUCAUAAAUUAAAAAUGCAUUUUAUGCACUUAACCUACUGAACAUCAUAGCUUAGGUUAGCCUACCUUAAACGUGUUCAGAAUAUUUACAUUGGCCUAUACCUGGGCAAAAUCAUCUAACACAAAGUCUAUCUCAUAAUAAAGUGUUAAAUAUCUCAUGUAAUUGAUUGAAUGUUGUACCAAAAGUGAAAAACAGGAUGAUUGUUUGGGUAGAGAAUGUUUGUAAGUGUACUGGUUGUUUAUGCCUGUGGCUGACUAGGAGCUUGGGCUCACUGCCACUGCCCAGCACCCCGGAGAGUAUUGUACUGUAUCUCGAUAGCCCAGGAAAAGAUCAAAAUUGAAAAUUCCAAAUAUGAGGGGGAGGGUAUAGCUCAAGUGGUAGAGUGCAUGCUUAACAUGAAAGCUAAAGGUCCUGGGUUCAAUCCUCGGUACCUUCUCUAAAAAUAAAUAAACCUGAGGGGAAGGUACAGAGAUUUCCCAUAUACCCCCUGGCCCCACACAUACAUGAUCCACCCCUGUUAUCAGCAUCCCUCAUCAGAGUGCAUAUUUGCUAUGACUGAUGACCUAUGUUGACAUGUCACGUCAUAAGUCUCCCAGUGUCCAUAGCUGACACUAUGGUUAACUGUUGGUUAUUCAUCCCUCCCCUUAUAUUUCUUUCUUUUUGUUUAAACAUUCAAGUUAAUAAAUGAUUUUGUUAAAGAGAUUUACACUACCUCUUGGAACUAGACACAGUUCUGUAUGUGUUCCCUUUGUUGCAUGACAAUAUUCAAGACAGCUUUGUAAAUAGGCAGAGACAAGUUUUUAAAAUAACAUCUAGUCUUUCUAGAUGCAUAGAGUCUCACAAAGUAUAAUUUUGUAAAUAAUUCAUUGUAAAAUUUCAUGGUUUCUUUGUUUUCUUCAAAUGUUAGCAAUGAAAUUCAUGUGGUUGUAGAUUUCUUGAGCUAAACAUAGUUGGGAUCUGUUUAUUGAGUUGCUACUGGAAAGCAAAAGGUAAAAAGGUAUUUUCUCAUCUAAAAUAAAGUUUUACAUUUAAAAAAAUAAAAAAAUAAAAAAUAAAAAUAAAUAAACCUAAUUACUUCCCCCCGCCAAAAGAAAAAAAUUCCAAAUUUGGUUCCCACUGAAUGCAUAUCGCUCUCACACCAGUGUAAAGUCAAAGUAUCAGAAGUUGAAACAUCAUAAGCUGGGGAUCAUAUGUAUGUUAGAAUCAUCUGGAAGCUCAAAAAAGUCAGACUUUCUGGUUUAUGGAGUCUUGCGUUUGUAUUUUGCAAAAGCUCCCUGGAGCUUCCUAAUGCACAGCCAAGGCUGGAAACCACUGCUCCAGACAAUGAACAUUUUAUCAACAGGAACUGCUUGUAUAUCUUGCACCAUUUAGGCCCCUCAUUAAAGUGUCUUUAUUGACUCAUCCUGGGUUUUGUGCUUAGUUUGAGCAACUCUAAGAUACGUGAGUGGAGUUACGGUAGGGAUGUUGCCAAUGACCCCUGAAGUGGGUAAGAAGACACAUAGGAGAGAUUUCUAUUGGCAUCUGCACCAGGAAAAGCUGUGAUUCUCCUGAUGAACCAGUUCAUGUUUAUCUUAUGGAUGCUGGAAAUCAUUUAAUGAACACUGUUUUCCAAGCUUGUACUAGCUGCCGGAAUGCUCCUGGUCAGAGUCGUGAUCCACCUUUAUCACCUGGAUAGCAUUUUAUGGUACAUGUGUUGUGCCCUGACCUGAUUCCUCUUUAUUUUCUGUCCUUUUCUCUUCACCCUCCUUUCCUCAUUUUUUCCCAUAAUGCUUUUCAAUCAAUAUAAUUCACACAGUAUAAAAUUUCCUCUUUUAAAGUGUACAAUUUGGUGGUUUUUAGUGUAUUCACAUCACCACUACGUAAUUCCAGAACAUUUUCAACACCCCCAAAAGAGAUUCUUUGCUCAUUAACAGUCACUCCUCAUUCCUGCCCUCCCCUUUGGCAAUCAACAGUCUACUUUCUGCCUAUGGAUUUGCCUAUUCUGGACAUUUCAUAUAAACGGGAUCAUAUAAUUAUGUCCCCUUUAUUUCCAGCUUCAUUUAUUUAGCAUAAUAUUUUCAAGUUUCCCUCAUGUUGUAGUACGUAUCAAUACUUUAUUCACUUUUUAAUGACUGAGUAAUAUUCCAUUGUAUAGAUGUACCACAUUUUGUUUUUCCAUGCGCAUUUGGGUUUCCAGCUUUUGGCUAUCAUGAAUAAUGCUGCUACAGACAUUCAUUUACAAGUUUUUAUGUGACCAUGUCUCAGUUCCCUUGGGUAUAUACCUACAAGAGGAUUUGCUGGAUCAUAUGGUACUUCUAUGUUUAACUUUUUUGAGGAUCUUUUCUCAUUAAAACCUUUUUUUUUUGUCUUAUGUAUUGUCUGUGUCUUUGUCAGCUGCUACAAAUUCUUCUUUUUGGGAGGAAGCAGAGUAUAAAUAAAUAAAUAAAUCACGAAGCACUCUCAAGCCAUCUGUUUUAAUAAUCUGUGCUAGAAUUUUGCCAAGAUUCUAUAUCAAGCCAUUUGGUCUAUAGUUUCCAGAAAUACCUUCUGUCUCUUUGUGAAAAUCAGAACAUUUUUUUAUCUUCGACGUUCUCAUCAUUUAUCCAGGUUGUUUUUCAGUCCUACAUGCAAGGUAUUUCAUGACUCUGUGUCUAAUUCAUCUGACUCUGGUCCCAGAAUUCAUUUGCAGCCACGUAAGCUCUCAUCUAUCUUGUGAUGUACUUAAAUUUUCAUAUCCAAGGAAUUCAUGUACAUGGUUAAAAAUAAAGUAGAACAGAAGAGCCAACAAUGAACAGUCCCACCCUCAUUUCUUCUCCCUCUAGUCCUGCUCCUUGAGGCAACUGCUUCUAAGUCUUUUAGCUCUUUUAUUCUGGGAGUGAUUUCUGUAUCUUUAAAUAAUGUGCUUAUGCUGCUGUUUCUGUGUUUCUCAAUUUUAAACAUCCUUUAUUGAUUUAUAACUAUGAAAGAUGAGGAUUUAAUUCAUAUAGAUCAUCCAACCAACCUCCCCCACCCUACUCCCAAUACAGUUAUACUGCAGUUUUUAUUUAGUUCCUCUAAAUAAAAUAAAAAUAAAUCUGUUGAUUACCCAUGUUGCUUUAAGUAACAUAUUUAUGUUUUUAUUUCUCAUUGCAUCAGCUAUUGAUAGUAGUUUUGACUCACUGUUUUGUAGAAUAUGGUUAUCACUCCUACCUCUCCCUUUUGGCUCCCCUUCUCAGCUUCUG
This is a non-coding RNA of Vicugna pacos (alpaca), 4925 nucleotides long. NCBI's taxonomy places the organism in Eukaryota, Metazoa, Chordata, Mammalia, Artiodactyla, Camelidae. The record is from RefSeq and is a predicted model, not a curated record.